AUGGAGGGCUUGGAAGGCUUAAUGAGGGGUUUGAAGCUUUCGGCGGUGGAGAGGAAGGGAGUGAAGCUAGGGCAGAAGGAGAAGGGGAAAUCUCAAGACUGCGCACUGGACGAUCCCCAAGCAGUGGGAAAGCUGUUCUCGGAAAAACCUAAGAUUGCGGGGAUAGUAGGGCAAACUUUGGGUAGGAUCUGGUGUCUUAAAGGACUGGAGUGCAAAGAACUAGAGACAAAUAUCUUCCUGUUCACCUUCCGGCAAGCAUCAGGUUGGAGACGAGCUUUGGAGGAAGGCCCCUGGUGGUUUGAUAAUGAACUAUUAGUCAUGGAGGAGUUCGACCCGGAGAAGACAGUGGAGGAGUAUGACUUCAACCUUGUACCCAUGUGGCUCCAGAUCUUCAGUCUUCCCCUGGGAUACAUGAAUAGAGCCACUGGGGAGAUUAUAGGUGCUGAUUUUUAUGAGUUUCUGGAUGUGGAUGUUGGGCAUGAUGGCAAGGCAAUGGGGAAGUACCUCCGCGUGAAGGUAAAGCUCGAUAUCAAUGAGCCUCUUCCUAGGGGUUUUGUUCUGGAUAGGGAGAGGGGACAGGAGGCGGGAAAGGACAGAGCAGUAGAGGAGGCUGACGAGAAUAAUAGUAAGAAGAAGAAGAAGAAGGAAUUAUUGUAG
RNAcentral lists this ribosomal RNA (657 nucleotides) under Triticum aestivum (bread wheat). RNAcentral describes it as "partial small subunit ribosomal RNA". Lineage: Eukaryota; Viridiplantae; Streptophyta; Magnoliopsida; Poales; Poaceae. The record is from RNAcentral.